GAUGAACGCUGGCGGCGUGCCUAAUACAUGCAAGUCGAGCGCUGAAGGGUGGUACUUGUACCAACUGGAUGAGCAGCGAACGGGUGAGUAACGCGUGGGGAAUCUGCCUUUAAGCGGGGGACAACAUCUGGAAACGAAUGCUAAUACCGCAUAAAAUCUUUAAACACAAGGUUCAAGUUUGAAAGAUGCAAUUGCAUCACUCAAAGAUGAUCCCGCGUUGGCUUAACCAGUUGGUGAGGUAAAGGCUCACCAAGGCGAAGGUACAUAGCCGACCUUAGAGGGUGAUCGGCCCACUUGGGAAUGAGACACGGCCCAAAACCCUACGGGGAGGCGCAGGAGGGGAUUCUCGGGCAUGGGGGAAAGUCUGGACGGGCAAAGCCGGGGGGGUGGAGAAGGGUCUCGGAUCGGAAAAAUCUGUUGGUAGGGAAGAAAGUUAGUGAGAGUGGAAAGCUCAUCAAGUGACGGUACCUACCCAGAAAGGGACGGCUAACUACGUG
RNAcentral lists this ribosomal RNA (497 nucleotides) under uncultured bacterium. RNAcentral's name for it is "partial 16S ribosomal RNA". It matches the Rfam family "Bacterial small subunit ribosomal RNA", at positions 28 to 507 of the family's 1533-position model. The record is from RNAcentral.